Molecule: long non-coding RNA, 404 nt
Filed under: Paramuricea clavata
Lineage: Eukaryota; Metazoa; Cnidaria; Anthozoa; Malacalcyonacea; Plexauridae
Source: RNAcentral
GAGGUAGUAAAGUAUGGUGCUGGAGAGUUCUAUUGACUUUUAGGGACAUGAAGUGUUUUUGGUAGCCAAUUACAUAGUAUGAAAAGUUUAAACUGUAUUUUCUCAAAUAAACGAUUUUCGCAAGGUUUGUAAUCUGCCAACAAUGAUAUCUCAAAAACAAUUUAACAGAUUUGGCUAAAAUUUUCAGAGGAUGUUUACUUCAUCAAAAGCUAUGCAAUGAAAUAGAAUGAAGUCAUUAGGUCAAAUACUUUUUGUGCUAUAAGCAAAAAUUCAUGCUGAUCAUGACUAAAUUUCAGGCACAUAUAUUGUUUCAUUCAGAACUUAGAAACUAUUUACCUGAUUUAAAAUCUUUUAGUUCAUUGCAUGGGUCUGGUAGUGCUUAUUAUUUUCCCAAAGUUUCAUAG